This is a non-coding RNA of Gossypium raimondii (Peruvian cotton), 119 nucleotides long. The record is from Rfam. NCBI's taxonomy places the organism in Eukaryota, Viridiplantae, Streptophyta, Magnoliopsida, Malvales, Malvaceae.
GGGUGCGAUCAUACCAGCAUUAAUGCACCGGAUUCCAUCAGAACUCCGCAGCUAAGCGUUCUUGGGCGAGAGUAGUACUACGAUGGGUGACCUCCUGGGAAGUCCUCGUGUUGCACCCC